This is a non-coding RNA of Thamnophis sirtalis, 384 nucleotides long. Lineage: Eukaryota; Metazoa; Chordata; Lepidosauria; Squamata; Natricidae. The record is from the annotation of a RefSeq genome assembly.
UGCAGGGAGAAAAAAAUGAUCCUGUGGCUGAAUUGGAUGAUGUCCUUGUUAGUGCUCCUUCAAGGAGUCCAAUCUCAAGUCCAGUUGGUGGAGUCUGGAGGGGAUGUGAGAAGACCUGGAGAAUCCCUGCGUCUCUCCUGCCAAGCCUCUGGAUUCACCUUCAGCAGCUACUGCAUGAACUGGGCGAGACAGGCUCCAGGGAAAGGUCUGGAAUGGGUGGCCCGCAUAUGUACAGGAUCAUCUCCUUCCAUUUACUACCCAGACAAAGUCAAGGGCCGUUUCAUUAUCUCCAGAGAUGAUUCUCGCAGCCAGCUGUAUCUGCAAAUGAACAGCCUCAAAUUGGAGGAUUCUGCAGUUUAUUACUGUGCAAGAGAGACACAGUGA